GCACUGCUGAAGAGUCUCACAUAUGGACGAAAUGACCAUCCAGUGC
RNAcentral lists this non-coding RNA (46 nucleotides) under Schistosoma margrebowiei. The record is from RNAcentral. Lineage: Eukaryota; Metazoa; Platyhelminthes; Trematoda; Strigeidida; Schistosomatidae.